CCAAAUACCACCAGAACAGCCUGCCAACGAACCAAAGCUAAGGUGAUGAAGCCAACUGCAGGAGGGGAGAGCGUGGCCUUGACCAGAGGCAGUCCGGAGACUCUCUUGGUGUGUCAUAAGGGGCAGGGCCAGACUCUUCUAUCACAUCCUGAACGUCUCCUUUCCCCACCCUCUGCUGUCUUCAAUCCACCUAUAUUAGCCGGGGAAUUCUUGGUUGCAGACAACAGGAUCCACUUCAGCUAGUUUAAGCCAAAGCGGAUUUUUGAAGGCAUAGAGAGCUCACAGAAUUAUCAGGAGGGCCGGAGAUGCAGGACCUAGGCUGGCUUCCAGGGACAACCGGCUUCCCAAGUCACACUGAAGAACUGGCUCCCCGAGGGAGCUGCCACCUCACCAGGAUUCGGAAGCUGCCAAGUCAGGAUGUUACUGCCUUGGCUCCUGUCUCCGGAACCGGGCUCCCUCUGCCACAAUCCAUGCCAACAAAACGAUGCCCUGUUCCCUGUCUCUAUCUCCAUGUCACAAAACCCUCACGGGAGAGGUCCCUCCCUAUACCCGGAGGAAAGGAGCAUCUGGAUGUCCACAGAGAAGGGAAGCUGAAGAAUCCUAACAAACAGGCCUCGCUCACUGGACCCACCUCACUGCUCCACCUCACGCUCUCUGACUUUUCAUAUUUUUCCACGACUGUCCACUCUUCGUCAAACCCAGCACAAAA
RNAcentral lists this long non-coding RNA (709 nucleotides) under Equus caballus (horse). RNAcentral describes it as "lncRNA (ENSECAG00000059016.1)". The record is from RNAcentral. Lineage: Eukaryota; Metazoa; Chordata; Mammalia; Perissodactyla; Equidae.